ACGAACGCUGGCGGCGUGCCUAAUACAUGCAAGUCGAACGGUCUUUCUAUGGAAGCUUGCUUCCACUGAGAAGAUAGUGGCGAACGGGUGAGUAACACGUGGGUAACCUGCCCAUAAGAGGGGGAUAACAUCCGGAAACGGGUGCUAAUACCGCAUAGUUUUCUUGAUCGCAUGAUCGGGAAAGGAAGACGGCCUUUGUGCUGUCGCUUAUGGAUGGACCCGCGGCGUAUUAGUUAGUUGGUGAGGUAAUGGCUCACCAAGACGAUGAUACGUAGCCGACCUGAGAGGGUGAUCGGCCACAUUGGGACUGAGACACGGCCCAAACUCCUACGGGAGGCAGCAGUAGGGAAUCUUCCGCAAUGGACGAAAGUCUGACGGAGCAACGCCGCGUGAGUGAAGAAGGUUUUCGGGAAUCGUAAAACUCUGUUGUCAGAGAAGAACAAGUUGGAGAGUAACUGCUCCAGCCUUGGCGGUAUCUGACCAGAAAGCCACGGCUAACUACGUGCCAGCAGCUGC
This 516-nucleotide ribosomal RNA is filed under the name uncultured bacterium. Its description in RNAcentral is "bacterial SSU rRNA". It matches the Rfam family "Bacterial small subunit ribosomal RNA", at positions 29 to 518 of the family's 1533-position model. The record is from RNAcentral.